CCCUUAGAUGUCCGGGGCUGCACGCGCGCUACACUGAAGGAAUCAGCGUGCUAAAACCAUUGUCGAAAGGCAUUGGUAAACCCAUUAAAAUCCUACGUGAUUGGGAUCGAGAAUUGCAAUUAUUUCCCUUGAACGAGGAAUUCCCAGUAAGUGUGGGUCAUAAGCUCGCGUUGAUUACGUCCCUGCCCUUUGUACACACCGCCCGUCGCUGCCCGGGACUGAGCCGUUUCGAGAAAAGCGGGGACUGCUGCUGUCGGGGCUUUCGGGCCUUGGCUUCGGUGGAAACCGCUUUAAUCGCAGUGGCUUGAACCGGGCAAAAGUCGUAACA
This 328-nucleotide ribosomal RNA is filed under the name uncultured eukaryote. Its description in RNAcentral is "partial 18S ribosomal RNA". It matches the Rfam family "Eukaryotic small subunit ribosomal RNA", at positions 1470 to 1796 of the family's 1831-position model. The record is from RNAcentral.